UUUCGGAUAAGUUGAUACCCUU
This 22-nucleotide non-coding RNA is filed under the name Arabidopsis thaliana (thale cress). Lineage: Eukaryota; Viridiplantae; Streptophyta; Magnoliopsida; Brassicales; Brassicaceae. The record is from RNAcentral.